CAAGCAAGCCGAACAGCCGCGGGCACAGGUCGAAAGGCCGUGCGUGAGGAAAGUCCGGGCUCCGCAGGGCAAGGAUAGCGGGUAACGCCCGCCGAAGGCGACUUUAGGACAAGUGCAACAGAGAUAUACCGCCCCGCACAAGCGGGGUAAGGGUGGAAAGGUGCGGUAAGAGCGCACCCGUCCCCAUGGUAACCUGGGGAUGCUGUAAACUCUAUCCGGAGCAACACCGUGGAGGGACACACAGGCCUGCCCGGCCGUCCCAUGGAGGUGGCUUGAACGCGGCGGCAACGCCGCGUCUAGAUAGAUGGCUGUUUAAGACAGAAUCCGGCUUACAGACUUACUUGCUAU
Molecule: RNase P RNA, 348 nt
Filed under: Oscillospiraceae bacterium
Lineage: Bacteria; Bacillati; Bacillota; Clostridia; Eubacteriales; Oscillospiraceae
Description: RNase P RNA component class A
Rfam family: Bacterial RNase P class A
About the family: Ribonuclease P (RNase P) is a ubiquitous endoribonuclease, found in archaea, bacteria and eukarya as well as chloroplasts and mitochondria. Its best characterised activity is the generation of mature 5'-ends of tRNAs by cleaving the 5'-leader elements of precursor-tRNAs.
Source: RNAcentral